UCGCGAAAACUUCGCAAUGGGAGCAAUCCCGACGAGGGUAUUCCAAGUGCCAACAGGAGAAGUAAGGGCCGGGUAAGACGGGUGCCAGCCGCCGCGGUAAUACCCGCGGCCCGAGUGGUGGUCGAUAUUAUUGAGCCUAAAACGUCCGUAGCCGGCCUCGCAAAUCCCUGGGUAAAUCGGCCAGCUUAACUGUCCGAAUUCCGGGGAGACUGCGAGGCUUGGGACCGGGAGAGGUCAGAGGUACUUCCAGGGUAGGGGUAAAAUCCUGUAAUCCCGGAAGGACCACCGGUGGCGAAGGCGUCUGACUAGAACGGAUCCGACGGUGAGGGACGAAGCCCUGGGGCGCAAACGGGAUUAGAUACCCCGGUAGUCCAGGGUGUAAACGCUGCGGGCUUGGUGUUGGGGGUCCUUUGAGGGCGCCCAGUGCCGGAGAGAAGUUGUUAAGCCUGCUGCUUGGGGAGUACGUCCGCAAGGAUGAAACUUAAAGGAAUUGGCGGGGGAGCACGCAACGGGAGGAGCGUGCGGUUCAAUUGGAUUCAACGCCGGACAACUCACCAGGAGCGACGGUACAUGAAGGCCAGGCUGAUGACCUUGCCUGAUUUUCCGAGAAGUAGUGCAUGGCC
RNAcentral lists this ribosomal RNA (623 nucleotides) under uncultured archaeon. RNAcentral's name for it is "bacterial SSU rRNA". It matches the Rfam family "Archaeal small subunit ribosomal RNA", at positions 339 to 999 of the family's 1478-position model. The record is from RNAcentral.